AUGUGAAAUUGAUUGUCAAUCAGUGUUGCUUCCUAAGUGGACAGUUUGAUUUCACAGAAGUUUGAUUUAUUGUGUUGUUUAAGUGUUCCCUUUAUUUUUUUGAGCAGUGUAUAAUUUCUUCCAUCUUUUAAUACGUUCCGGGGUGUGGAGCACUUUGAUCCAGCUCCACCUUUUAACAUGCUCACUGUUUCUCCAUUGCUUGUUUGGUUUUCCCAUGACCCCUUCUCAGGCAUUAGAACAUUGGAGAAAAAUAAACAACCAGACCUAGGAGAAGCUAUUUAGAGCUGCUUGACUCGACUCCCUUCCUGUCUAGAUUUUUUUUUGGAGAACAUGUUUUCCAACCACCGGGAAAAGAAAACUGUGGUCUUCUGAAUUUUCUUUUCUGUUUUUCCUCCUAGCUGCAGGGGGCCCGGCUCUGCUCCAUCUCUCCCUACUCUGCAUACAACCUGUUGUUUUUCCAUUGAGUCACUGACUGCUAUAGUUUUGGCUUGAAGCCCCGUCUCCAGCUGGCAGUGUAGUGCACUCUGUUGAUGUUAUUGUGAGACAUUGAACAUUAAAGUAAUCUGCAUGAAACUGUAAAUAAAUAAAUGGAGAAUAAAAACAUAAAGUAUAAAUAA
Girardinichthys multiradiatus is the source of this 617-nucleotide long non-coding RNA. RefSeq lists it as uncharacterized. The record is from RefSeq and is a predicted model, not a curated record. NCBI's taxonomy places the organism in Eukaryota, Metazoa, Chordata, Actinopteri, Cyprinodontiformes, Goodeidae. The transcript has 2 exons.